This 602-nucleotide long non-coding RNA is filed under the name Phoenix dactylifera (date palm). RNAcentral's name for it is "long non-coding RNA (PDAC_LNC019808)". Lineage: Eukaryota; Viridiplantae; Streptophyta; Magnoliopsida; Arecales; Arecaceae. The record is from RNAcentral.
CCUAUCUUAACAAACGGAGCACAAAGGUGAAACAAUAGGUAAUGCCUUAUAUACAUGCACUUGGGCCGAUACCUUGCAUGUAUAAUUAAAACUGAUAACUUUUUCCAAACAGAAAGGUCCAACUCAUUCUGGAGACCCAAAAUCAAAUGUAUAACAAAGACAAACAGCAUCAGAUAUAUACUGCAGUAAAAUCAUUCUGAAUUCUUCAUUGGAACAAAACAACAAACAAUUGCAUGGCAUGAAAGAGAUCCAAGUAUUAGGCAGCAUAUUAGCAUUCAACAGAUUAUAUUGCACCUUGAAAAGAGCAUAAAGGGGGCGAACUGGAUAAAGUAGGAGACGAAAAGCGGCGUUAAUCGGAGGCGGUGACGACCAAAGGGGCUACUCCAGCCGGUGGUAAAGUCGCGGGAGGUGGAGCGCCGCCGGAAUGCAGAGAGAGAACGGAGUCGAUGGGGACGGGGGUUGUCUGAAGGCGGAGACGGGCAGCCUGAGGUCGAUUACCGCCGGAGAUGAGAGAGUACGAGAGGAGAAUGAGAUGCGGAAGAGAGGAGAGAAAGGGCGAAACAGCCGCCUCGGAGGGACCAUCCCAGCGGGUCCCGUACAAA